Molecule: ribosomal RNA, 335 nt
Filed under: Shigella flexneri
Lineage: Bacteria; Pseudomonadati; Pseudomonadota; Gammaproteobacteria; Enterobacterales; Enterobacteriaceae
Description: partial 23S ribosomal RNA
Rfam family: Bacterial large subunit ribosomal RNA
Source: RNAcentral
UUAAGCGUGUAGGCUGGUUUUCCAGGCAAAUCCGGAAAAUCAAGGCCGAGGCGUGAUGACGAGGCACUACGGUGCUGAAGCAACAAAUGCCCUGCUUCCAGGAAAAGCCUCUAAGCAUCAGGUAACAUCAAAUCGUACCCCAAACCGACACAGGUGGUCAGGUAGAGAAUACCAAGGCGCUUGAGAGAACUCGGGUGAAGGAACUAGGCAAAAUGGUGCCGUAACUUCGGGAGAAGGCACGCUGAUACGUAGGUGAAGCGACUUGCUCGUGGAGCUGAAAUCAGUCGAAGAUACCAGCUGGCUGCAACUGUUUAUUAAAAACACAGCACUGUGCA